CCUUGGUCCGAGGGGUGUUCCUGAAAGGGAACUGAGAUAGCAGACGCUGAACCCUUAGAACCUGAUCCGGGUCAUGCCGGCGAAGGGACGGAAGCCUUUAGCCUA
RNAcentral lists this non-coding RNA (105 nucleotides) under Roseibium sp. TrichSKD4. RNAcentral's name for it is "TPP riboswitch aptamer (THI element)". It matches the Rfam family "TPP riboswitch aptamer (THI element)". Rfam says of the family: Vitamin B(1) in its active form thiamin pyrophosphate (TPP) is an essential coenzyme that is synthesised by coupling of pyrimidine and thiazole moieties in bacteria. The previously detected thiamin-regulatory element, thi box was extended, resulting in a new, highly conserved RNA secondary structure, the THI element, which is widely distributed in eubacteria and also occurs in some archaea. Analysis of operon structures identified a large number of new candidate thiamin-regulated genes, mostly transporters, in various prokaryotic organisms. The record is from Rfam by way of RNAcentral. RNAcentral also lists the same sequence under 1 other name. Lineage: Bacteria; Pseudomonadati; Pseudomonadota; Alphaproteobacteria; Hyphomicrobiales; Stappiaceae.